This 117-nucleotide ribosomal RNA is filed under the name Bemisia tabaci. Lineage: Eukaryota; Metazoa; Arthropoda; Insecta; Hemiptera; Aleyrodidae. The record is from RNAcentral.
GUCAACGGCCAUAUCACGUUGAAAGCACCGUUCUCGUCGAUCACCGAAGAUAAGCAGCGUCGGGCGUAGUUAGUACUUAGAUGGGAGACCGCUUUGGAACACUGCGUGCUGUUGACU